This 253-nucleotide ribosomal RNA is filed under the name uncultured bacterium. RNAcentral's name for it is "partial 16S ribosomal RNA". It matches the Rfam family "Bacterial small subunit ribosomal RNA", at positions 524 to 776 of the family's 1533-position model. The record is from RNAcentral.
GACGAAGGGGGCUAGCGUUGUUCGGAAUUACUGGGCGUAAAGCGCGUGUAGGCGGCGUAGCAAGUCGGGCGUGAAAGCCCACGGCUCAACCGUGGAAGAGCACUCGAAACUGCUGCGCUAGAGUUCUGGAGAGGAAGGCGGAAUGCUUGGUGUAGAGGUGAAAUUCGUAGAUAUCAAGCGGAACACCGGUGGCGAAGGCGGCCUUCUGGACAGUGACUGACGCUGAAACGCGAAAGCGUGGGGAGCAAACAGG